RNAcentral lists this long non-coding RNA (660 nucleotides) under Brassica rapa (field mustard). RNAcentral describes it as "long non-coding RNA (BRAP_LNC000431)". The record is from RNAcentral. Lineage: Eukaryota; Viridiplantae; Streptophyta; Magnoliopsida; Brassicales; Brassicaceae.
GAAUAUCUAACCAAUCUUUAGCACCAUUUUAGAUUUACUGAUUGCAGAUAGCACUAAAGAUGCUAAAGCGGAUCAACCUAUCAACUACACACUUGCCUUGAACCGUAUGAAGUAACCAAAGCUGAUUUCCAAAACUAAACCUGACAUAACCGCUUGUCUUGGGGCUUGGUAUACAUGGGAUCGGAUUCUUCAGACAUGUCUGGAAGGUAACGCCUGGUUUAGAUUAUUUAUCACAUUUUCUCUCUCUAUAUUUCGACCCUAGAUUAGUUAGUGAGUAUUUAAAAAAAUAAAAAUAAAAAUAAAAUAAAUAAGAUCUAUUGUUUAAUUAGGAUGAGUCUGAACAGGACUUGGUGGCUAAAACCAUUAAGGUUUGAUUCAUAAAGACUCAAAUAAAAGAGUUCGAAACGGGACUUGGAGGCGGCAAUCUUCAAGGCUCGCUUUCGCAAAGAACUCUUGGAUAUAGGUCAAAAAGAAGUGAACAGAACUUGGUGGCAACCACCAUUAAGUUUUGAUUCAUGGAAGCCUGUCCAAUCUUGGUCACUAAUCCUGCAAUGGAAGCAGACUUUGACUCAAGAGAGAAAUUUAGAGAGAGAGAAACUAGGAACUAACUUUUACCUGCAGCUCUAGAUACCUGUCUGAAAUCCUUGCAUCCUGUGAUCG